This 451-nucleotide ribosomal RNA is filed under the name uncultured bacterium. Its description in RNAcentral is "partial 16S ribosomal RNA". It matches the Rfam family "Bacterial small subunit ribosomal RNA", at positions 354 to 796 of the family's 1533-position model. The record is from RNAcentral.
GUAAGGAAUAUUGGACAAUGGGGGGAACCCUGAUCCAGCCAUGCCGCGUGUGUGAAGAAGGCCUUUUGGUUGUAAAGCACUUUAAGCGAGGAGGAGGCUACCGAGAUUAAUACUCUUGGAUAGUGGACGUUACUCGCAGAAUAAGCACCGGCUAACUCUGUGCCAGCAGCCGCGGUAAUACAGAGGGUGCAAGCGUUAAUCGGAUUUACUGGGCGUAAAGCGCGCGUAGGUGGCCAAUUAAGUCAAAUGUGAAAUCCCCGAGCUUAACUUGGGAAUUGCAUUCGAUACUGGUUGGCUAGAGUAUGGGAGAGGAUGGUAGAAUUCCAGGUGUAGCGGUGAAAUGCGUAGAGAUCUGGAGGAAUACCGAUGGCGAAGGCAGCCAUCUGGCCUAAUACUGACACUGAGGUGCGAAAGCAUGGGGAGCAAACAGGAUUAGAUACCCCAGUAGUCC